UACGAAGGGGGCUAGCGUUGUUCGGAAUCACUGGGCGUAAAGCGCACGUAGGCGGAUCUUUAAGUCAGGGGUGAAAUCCCGGGGCUCAACCUCGGAACUGCCUUUGAUACUGAAGAUCUUGAGUCCGGGAGAGGUGAGUGGAACUGCGAGUGUAGAGGUGAAAUUCGUAGAUAUUCGCAAGAACACCAGUGGCGAAGGCGGCUCACUGGCCCGGUACUGACGCUGAGGCACGAAAGCGUGGGGAGCAAACAGG
Molecule: ribosomal RNA, 253 nt
Filed under: uncultured bacterium
Lineage: Bacteria
Description: partial 16S ribosomal RNA
Rfam family: Bacterial small subunit ribosomal RNA
Source: RNAcentral